CCUACGGGUGGCAGCAGUGAGGAAUAUUGGUCAAUGGACGGAAGUCUGAACCAGCCAUGCCGCGUGCAGGAAGACGGCUCUAUGAGUUGUAAACUGCUUUUGUACAAGGGUAAACCUGAAUACGUGUAUUCAGCUGAAAGUACUGUACGAAUAAGGAUCGGCUAACUCCGUGCCAGCAGCCGCGGUAAUACGGAGGAUCCAAGCGUUAUCCGGCUUUAGUGGGUUUAAAGGGUGCGGAGGCGGAUUGAUAAGUUAGAGGUUAAAUGUCCGAGCUUAACUCGGGAACUGCCUCUAAUACUGUUGAUCUAGAGAGUAGAUGCGGUAGGCGGAAUGUAUGGUGUAGCGGUGAAAUGCUUAGAGAUCAUACAGAACACCGAUUGCGAAGGCAGCUUACCAAUCUAUAUCUGACGUUGAGGCACGAAAGCGUGGAGAGCAAACAGGAUUAGAUACCCCUGUAGUC
Molecule: ribosomal RNA, 460 nt
Filed under: uncultured bacterium
Lineage: Bacteria
Description: partial 16S ribosomal RNA
Rfam family: Bacterial small subunit ribosomal RNA
Source: RNAcentral